UCUGAUCCUUCAAAUUUAGAAAUAACGAAAUAGGUAAUUGUAUUAAGUAUACAUAUUUAUAAAAAUGUAUAUAUUAAACAUUUAACAAUUCUAAAAAACUAAAUGCUAAACAACUACUUUUAAAUUUAUCUGUGAUUUAUAAAAUAAAAACUUUGAUACCUAUUAUUUGUAUUAUUUUUUUCAAUAUCACUUUAGUAGUAUAUAAUAUUCGUUUAGAAUCAUAAUUUAAUUUUUUUGACCUCUCUUACUCUGUGCAAAAAUCUAAAAUAACGCUGCUAAGGUACCUAGCUAGCCUGUAGGUAUAUUGAAGGUAUUUAUUUAGCUUUCACUGCUUUCAGCGAAUUUUUUGCAAUAUAAUUGCGUUAUUUUGCCCAUAAGAUAUUAUAUACUUCUAAAAUUAUCUAAAAUAGGAGUAAUUGUUUUAAUAUAAAUUUAAAAUUAAGUGGAUUGAAGUUUUCGAAUGAAUCGAUCACGUUUUUUCGGUUACCUAUAUUAUACAGUAUACAUACCAUAGGCUACUCAUUACUUUUGAAGUUUUGCCCCCCUCUGGCCUUCCUCAUUAUUGAAAAUGUAAAUAUCACCUACACUAUAACUAGUUUAGUUCAUUCGAUAAAAUUGAAAUUUAGUUGUUUUAAUGUUUAUUAUAGUUACUAAAUAAGGAAUUCUAAACUGUCAACUUUUCAAAUAUUUUUUUCAAUUUGUUAUCCCACAAUAAUUAAUAAACAUCGAAGUAUUAAAUUAUCAUUGUGUUUUUUAAAGAUUUAUUUUGAUCACUGUAUAUAAAAUAUAUUUUCAAAUCAAGGAAAACUUAUUAUUUUUUUUUUAUCCACCUCGUUUUAAAUAUUAAAUAAUCUGUAGUCUAUAAUUGCUUUUAUCAUUAUUCAUCAUAUACAAAGUUAGUUUUAAAAUGAUAAAUCCAGACUAGUUUAUUUCCAAACUGCCUUCAUACUAACAUAUAAUUACUAGAUAUAAAAUAUCUAUUUGGAACAAAGUUUAAAAUUAAAACAUUUGAAUUUCAAAGUUUCUAAAGGUUUUAGGCUGACUUAUUUGUGUAAACAUAUAGUCCACUAUAGUUCCACGGUCCUUCCACGGUCUUAUAAAAUAAAGUCUGUGAUUCCUAGUUUAUUUUUGAAGAAUCUGACUUACAAUAAAUAGGUUGGCAACGCUGCCAUAAGAUAACAGAUAACAUCGUGGUUCAUUCGCAACUUCACAAGAUUGAUUAAAAUUCAGAAUUGAUUUAGCUCGGCCGUAUUUCUCUGUUUUGAUUUAAACAUUUGGUUGAGUGAAUCGAUAUUGAGACAUUCAGCCGAUCGACAAUAAUUAAUAAUUGGCGAUCCAGAGACUGAGGUACAAGUGUAACUAUAGCCAAUCUCCAGCCUUCCUUUCGUAGCCCAUUGCCCAACUGCUCAACUUUCGUCCCGAACAACCCGUGCACAGAAUGUUUGGAAGACCAGCCCAGGCUGUCCAGCCGAAACCUCGCACUGCCAUGGAAAAGGUCAAGUUUAUCUAUCAGGACGAAAACAUUUGGAACGUAGUGAAGAGCAUAGCAUUUUUCGUUGUUGCUGUCAAGUUCACUCGAGAGUUCCAAGGCGUUGAGCUCAUACACUAAUGUCUGCUUCCGUACGAGAAACUUCGCCGCCUUAUAUAGUCGUACCCUCCCCCCUCUAUCGAUGUACAUACCAACUAAUUAUUUACAUUUAAAUGUAUUACAUGAUAACAUAAUAAUGAUUUUAAGUCUCACUGAAUGGAAAUAUCUUUAUUGUAUGUAAUCGUGAAAAUUAUAAUAUAUUGUACAAGGUCUAGUAACCUUGUGUAAGCACGCAAA
Molecule: long non-coding RNA, 1825 nt
Organism: Rhopalosiphum padi (bird cherry-oat aphid)
Lineage: Eukaryota; Metazoa; Arthropoda; Insecta; Hemiptera; Aphididae
Exons: 2
Source: RefSeq, a predicted model, not a curated record